GCCUGGAUAGUUUAGUGGUAAAACGAGUCAUUGGUAAUGACUUGAGUGUGGGUCCGAUUCCCACUCCAGGCUCAA
This 75-nucleotide transfer RNA is filed under the name Candidatus Levybacteria bacterium RIFCSPHIGHO2_02_FULL_37_10. RNAcentral describes it as "tRNA-Thr". It matches the Rfam family "tRNA". From Rfam's summary of the family: Transfer RNA (tRNA) molecules are approximately 80 nucleotides in length. Their secondary structure includes four short double-helical elements and three loops (D, anti-codon, and T loops). The record is from RNAcentral. Lineage: Bacteria; Candidatus Levyibacteriota.